This 224-nucleotide ribosomal RNA is filed under the name uncultured Lactobacillus sp. Its description in RNAcentral is "partial 16S ribosomal RNA". It matches the Rfam family "Bacterial small subunit ribosomal RNA", at positions 138 to 355 of the family's 1533-position model. The record is from RNAcentral. Lineage: Bacteria; Bacillati; Bacillota; Bacilli; Lactobacillales; Lactobacillaceae.
CGGGAGUAACACCUGGAAACAGAUGCUAAUACCGGAUAACAACAGAUGAUGCCUAUCAACUGUUUAAAAGAUGGUUCUGCUAUCACUCUUGGAUGGACCUGCGGUGCAUUAGCUAGUUGGUAGGGUAACGGCCUACCAAGGCGAUGAUGCAUAGCCGAGUUGAGAGACUGAUCGGCCACAUUGGGACUGAGACACGGCCCAAACUCCUACGGGAGGCAGCAGCC